AGAUUUGGGAGUGCUACGCAAGAGGAACCGGAACACAGGUGCUGCAUGGCUGUCGUCAGCUCGUGCCGUGAGGUGUCGGUUAAGUCCGACAACGAGCGCAACCCUUGUUGUCAGUUAUACUUUACUGGCGAGACUGCUGGCAUAGUAACCAGAGGAAGUGGGAUGACGUCAAGUCAGUAUGGCCUUUAUGUCCAGGGCUACACACACGCUACAAUGGCCGGUACAGAGGGUAGCCAAGCCGCGAGGCGGAGCCAAUCCCAGAAAGCCGGUCUCAGUUCAGAUUGCAGGCUGCAACCCGCCUGCAUGAAGAUGGAGUUGCUAGUAACCGCAGGCCAGCUAUACUGCGGUGAAUACGUUCCCGGGGCUU
Molecule: ribosomal RNA, 367 nt
Filed under: uncultured Caldilineaceae bacterium
Lineage: Bacteria; Bacillati; Chloroflexota; Caldilineae; Caldilineales; Caldilineaceae
Description: bacterial SSU rRNA
Rfam family: Bacterial small subunit ribosomal RNA
Source: RNAcentral